AACAAUGUCUUUUACAGGUGCCCAGAGUCACGGUUCGUUCCUUUCCAUGGUCGUUACGUAUUGUCUUUGACGAUUGUCGUGCUCGCGGCUACCUCAGAGUAAGCAGCUUUUGUUUCGGCAGAAGCAGUUUUAACAGCC
This 138-nucleotide small nucleolar RNA is filed under the name Ascoidea rubescens DSM 1968. RNAcentral's name for it is "Small nucleolar RNA snR11". It matches the Rfam family "Small nucleolar RNA snR11". The record is from Rfam by way of RNAcentral. Lineage: Eukaryota; Fungi; Ascomycota; Saccharomycetes; Ascoideales; Ascoideaceae.